AAGGUAGUAUGUAAUAUCAAAAAUCACUAUAGAAAUAUAGAAAUCUUGAAGCCACUGAGUAUCAAGGACAUGAAUCUCAAAGAAAGGAAAUCCUCAAUACACUCUUUUAUUAUUGAAGAGAACUAGAAAGUCACUUAAAAGGUGAUGUAAUACUAACUAAAAUGGCUAUUUCCAAAAACAAAAAGACCAGAAAAUCUUGAAACAAGACUAAGACUAGAAAGGCAUUGACAAGAGUGAAGAAGGCUUCAAUCUUGCCUCCAUAUA
Molecule: long non-coding RNA, 264 nt
Filed under: Physcomitrium patens
Lineage: Eukaryota; Viridiplantae; Streptophyta; Bryopsida; Funariales; Funariaceae
Description: long non-coding RNA (PPAT_LNC009533)
Source: RNAcentral